GACGAACGCUGGCGGCAUGCCUAACACAUGCAAGUCGAACGAAAACUUCGGGUCUAGUGGCGCACGGGUGCGUAACGCGUGGGAACCUGCACUUAGGUUCGGAAUAACUCCCCGAAAGGGGUGCUAAUACCGGAUAAUGUCUUCGGACCAAAGAUUUAUCGCGUCUGGAUGGGCACGCGUUGGAUUCGCUAGUUGGUAGGGUAAAAGCCUACCAAGGCGACGAUGCAUAGCUGGUUUGAGAGGAUGAUCAGCAACACUGGGGCUGAGACACGGCCCAGACUCCUACGCGAGGCAGGAGAGGGUAAUAUUGGACAAUGGGCGAAAGCCUGAUCCAGCAAGGCCGGGUGAGUGAUGAAGGCCUUAGGGUUGUAAAGCUCUUUUACCCGGGAUGAUAAUGACGGUACCGGGAGAAUAAGCUCCGGCUAACUCCGUG
This 433-nucleotide ribosomal RNA is filed under the name uncultured bacterium. RNAcentral describes it as "partial 16S ribosomal RNA". It matches the Rfam family "Bacterial small subunit ribosomal RNA", at positions 28 to 507 of the family's 1533-position model. The record is from RNAcentral.